Molecule: long non-coding RNA, 251 nt
Organism: Protopterus annectens (West African lungfish)
Lineage: Eukaryota; Metazoa; Chordata; Ceratodontiformes; Protopteridae
Exons: 3
Source: RefSeq, a predicted model, not a curated record
CAAGUCAUUUCUCAGUUAGUCGCAAGGAGGAUGCCUAUGAGUUUUUCUCCUGCACCAUCAAAGCCAUGCAACGUGCUUACUUGGAUGGCCUCACAGAGCAAGACUGUUUUCUGCUUGAUCGUCAGACUGAAGCUACAACCCUGACUCAUCAGAUUUUUGGGGGUUAUCUUAGAUCAAGGGUGCAAUGCUCAGAAUGUCAGACUAAUUCGGAUAACUAUGACUCAUAUCUGCACAUUGCCCUUGAAAUCAAG